AUGCCAGAUCCAUCAAAGUCCACUCCUGCUCCAAGAAGGGCUCCAAGAAGGGCGUGACUGAGGCGCCGCAGAAGGACGGCAAGAAGCGCAAGCGCAGCCACAAGGAGACGCACGUGUAUAUUUACAAGGUGCUGAAGCAGGUCCACCCCGAUACCCUCAUCUCCUCUAAGGCCAUGGGGAUCAUGAACUCCUUCGUCAACGACAUCCAGCGCAUCGCCGGUGAGGCUUCCCGCCUGGCGCAUUACAACAAGCGCUCGAGGAGCUGGCCAAGCCCGGGGAGCAAGCCCAGAGAGCCAGCCCGGGGAGUUGGCCAGGCACGCCGUGUCCGAGGGCACCAAGGCUGUCACCAGCGCUAAAUAAACUUGCCAAGGAGGGACUUUCUCUGGAAUUUCCUGAUCUGACCAAGAAAGCUUCUUACCAAAAGAAGCACAGUUGCCUUCUGUUACCUCCUUAUCUACUGCAGAAAAGACGACUGAAGAAUGUAACCAUACCUGGAUGGACUUUUCUACAGGAUAAAGCUGGCCUCUUGGUCUCAUUCAGAUUCCAAAGAGAAUCAUUUACAAGUUAAUUUCUGUCUCCCUGGUCCAUUCCUUCUCCCUAAUAAUCAUUUACUGUUCCUCAAAGAAUUGUCUACACUACCCAUCUCCUCUUUUGCCUCUGAGAAAGGGUGUAUAAUCUUCUGUAACCCACUGAGGGGUUGGGGUAAUCAUUCUAUGGUCCCCAGCCCUGUACAUUAAUACAUUUACAUGCCUUUUCUCUUAAA
Molecule: RNA transcript, 763 nt
Organism: Piliocolobus tephrosceles (Ugandan red Colobus)
Lineage: Eukaryota; Metazoa; Chordata; Mammalia; Primates; Cercopithecidae
Gene name: histone H2B type 1-H-like
Exons: 1
Source: RefSeq, a predicted model, not a curated record